Molecule: long non-coding RNA, 209 nt
Organism: Lolium perenne
Lineage: Eukaryota; Viridiplantae; Streptophyta; Magnoliopsida; Poales; Poaceae
Source: RefSeq, a predicted model, not a curated record
GCCGCCGCCGCCGUUCGAGCUCCGAUCCGCCGCCGCCGUUCGAGCUCCUCGCCGAAGCCGCCGCCGCUGGCAUGGAGGGAUUUGGUUGAGGUUGCUGUCCAUCAUAGUUUGUUGGAUCGCUGGUUCCUAAGUGAUUCCUCAGAUUGACCCGCUCCGUGCUCUGCUCCUUACAACCCGUUCCUUGGAUUUCUUGCAUUCUGUCUGCCAAG